Molecule: long non-coding RNA, 522 nt
Filed under: Spirodela polyrhiza (greater duckweed)
Lineage: Eukaryota; Viridiplantae; Streptophyta; Magnoliopsida; Alismatales; Araceae
Description: long non-coding RNA (SPOL_LNC002057)
Source: RNAcentral
UUGUCCAAAUAUGAGUUAAGUAUUAAAAAUAGAAAAUACUACCCACGUAUGUGAUUAACAAACUCUCAAAUUCUCCAUGAGGAAAGAAACACUUGUCAAUCAAUAUAAAACAGUUUAUUUGAUACACUAACCUAUUAAACAUAUUUUCAAAUUGGAACCAAAAAAGAAUUAACAGGUUGGUAGUGUCUGACUAGAAGUCGUUUUGGUUGAAAGGAUCUCUUAUUCUACUCGUCAUCAGGAACAGUGACAAGUCAUUUUCUCAUUAUUUUGGCUCUCUCAUUUUCUAUUUUCAUAGGCAUUACUAUAGUUGGAUUUCAAAGAAAUGGGCUUCAACUAACAUAGAACAGAUCAAAUUGUUCAGCAUCAUGAAUUGCAAACUGGAUAUCUGAUGUGUAUACUGUGGUCAGAAAAGGAAUGGAACAGGUUAUCGAUCAUCUAAUUUAAAAAGGUAUUGGCAAUUUUUUCUUCAAAGGGAAACACCAAAGAAGCACUAUUAUGUAAGCUAAAGUUUAAAAGAGAAAA